This 692-nucleotide ribosomal RNA is filed under the name thermophilic bacterium enrichment culture clone OTU_3. RNAcentral describes it as "bacterial SSU rRNA". It matches the Rfam family "Bacterial small subunit ribosomal RNA", at positions 45 to 753 of the family's 1533-position model. The record is from RNAcentral.
UGCUACACAUGCAAGUCGAGCGAAGGGAGUACUACGGUACGAACUUAGCGGCGGACGGGUGAGUAACGCGUGGACAAUCUACCCUGUAGACUGGGAUAACACCUCGAAAGGGGUGCUAAUACCGGAUAAUGUCGAGAAGCGGCAUAGCUUUUCGAAGAAAGGAGGGAAUCCGCUAUAGGAGGAGUCCGCGUCCCAUUAGCUAGUUGGUGAGGGUAACGGCCCACCAAGGCGACGAUGGGUAGCCGGCCUGAGAGGGUGAACGGCCACACUGGAACUGAGACACGGUCCAGACUCCUACGGGAGGCAGCAGUGGGGAAUAUUGUGCAAUGGGGGAAACCCUGACACAGCGACGCCGCGUGAGUGAAGAAGGCCUUCGGGUCGUAAAGCUCAAUAGUAUGGGAAGAAAGAAAUGACGGUACCAUACGAAAGCCCCGGCUAACUACGUGCCAGCAGCCGCGGUAAUACGUAGGGGGCGAGCGUUGUCCGGAAUUACUGGGCGUAAAGAGCACGUAGGCGGCUAUAAAAGUCAGAUGUGAAAAACCUGGGCUCAACCGAGGGUAUGCAUCUGAAACUAAAUAGCUUGAGUCAAGGAGAGGAGAGCGGAAUUCCUGGUGUAGCGGUGAAAUGCGUAGAGAUCAGGAAGAAUACCAGUGGCGAAAGCGGCUCUCUGGACUUGAACUGACGCUGAGGUG